Long non-coding RNA from Xyrauchen texanus (razorback sucker), 1391 nucleotides. RefSeq lists it as uncharacterized. NCBI's taxonomy places the organism in Eukaryota, Metazoa, Chordata, Actinopteri, Cypriniformes, Catostomidae. The transcript is spliced from 3 exons. The record is from RefSeq and is a predicted model, not a curated record.
AUUUACUCAACAUUAAAGCAUGAAUGUCUGCGUGUGUCUAUACAGUUUGAUGGUGGCCAAAGCCAAGGAGGAGCUGGAUCAGGAGGUGUUGUAUAAGGAUGAGGAGAAACACAGGAACUGAGUGGAGCGCUUUAUACAAAGAAAGCUGUAUAUCAAAGCUAGGGUCUUUCUGAACAAGCUUGAGAAGAGGCCAGUUGAGGAUAGUGACUGGAGGAAGAACGUGGAGGCCAUGUCUGGUAUGGAGGGAAGAAAGAAGAUGUUUGAUGUGGCAAAAGGCCCCAUCCAGUGAACCAUUAUCUAGUGAGGUUAAGAGUUAAGGUCAUGCAACUUUUUGUUUGACAAAUUGAUCUAAAAUGUGUUAGGUUUGGAGUUCAAUACUAAAUAUACUAAUCUAAUACCAGAUACAGUAAUUCGAGAUUUCAGGUGAUUGCAUAACCUUCAAGUGGCAGAUAAGUGAAUAUUUUCAACAAAAAAAUGAAAAGUCAACAAAAGGUAUUCUGAUGUAUUUCAAGAAUAAACAAAGUAAAAUAUAAGUUGAUGUACCAGUCUCAGUACACGUUUAGUUUCACUAAAUUGCUAAUAUAAUAGGUUUGACAGUUUGUUUCUGUGAUACUGUGUGUGUAGGAUGUCUUAGUUAAGAUUUUACCAUUAAUCUUUACAAACUAUUGUUCAUAUAAGUCAUAAACUUGAUGUGCAUUGUAAAAAAAAACUGCACAUAGAUAGAGGUAAUUUAAGAUAAUUAAAAUAAAGGCUCAAAUUUCAUGCAGAUAUGUAUGUAUAAUUAUACUGUUAUCUCCCAAAAAGUGCAGACCAACACAGCUAUUGAAACAAUUUACAUUUAAAGUGUGAUGACAUGCCAUGCUGGUAAAAUGCCUGAAGGACUAAGCGGCUGUACUGUGUUUCUUUGUUUAGUCUAAUCUGAUGCAAAUGUUCUUUAAAUUGCUACUGAAUGGAGGCCAUAGGAUUGUGAAGAGAUGAUGAGAUAAAGACGAUCUGCCAUUUGAAGACUGUGGACUCCAACCCUUUAUUUGCAUAGUGGAUAUCUCUUGUCUUCCCUGUGGUGGCAUUGGGUGGGGCGUUCAGGCCACUUAUGCUGCUUCCUUUAGUUAUUUAUGUUUAACAGCUAAGUUCAUUAUGCCAUUCUUUAUGUGGAAUGUUUCUUUUCUUUAUUUGCAUAACUGAACAGGCUAAACAAAAAAUAAACUGAACAAUAUUGCGGAAACGUGUCACCAGGUUUGUCAUUCCAGUAGAGUUGGGCUAUUAUUUUCUUUUCGACCAAACCCAUGUAUGCUGAAUAGUCUGCUGUGGCUUUUCAGGUGUCUGUUUGAUGUUUCAGAUUGGCUUGGGCAAAGUACAGCAGGUCUACCUGUCUCUUAAAGGUGUGGCAAACA